CAAGAGGGUUCCACAACAGAGUAGACACAGUUGAAGAGGAAUCAGUGAAAGAAGACAGAUUGGAAUAAAAUAUCCACACUGAAGCAUGAAGAGACAAAAAGUCUGAAAUGAGCAUAAGUUGUUUAGUGUCUGUUGUCCAGAGUCACAAAAGCACAUCGAUCAAAGAAAAACCAAGACAAAACAUGUUGACUGAUAUUCAACUGAAAACCAGACCUCUGGAAAUGAAACCUCACCUUCAAGAAGAAUCAGGAACAGCAAUAGAACUCUGGAUCAUUCCUAGAGUAUUUUCUGCAAGUCUGUCUGAUGGAGGAUUAAAAAGGGGGACUGAGAGAAAGAUUUUCUGUCCUUCCAGAAAAAAAUCAUUGUUAUCUGACAACAACAAAUAACUACUAUAACCAGUUUUAAACGCAUCCUAAUCAAGCCGUGACAACCUCGCAUCAGUAAUCACACUCCUGAAAACCAGCUGACUAGCAAUGGCCUCCUUUCGAUGAACAAGCUCCUGAAAGUCAGCCAGUCACCAACGAUGUCACCUGCUUUCACAGUUAAAAGUUUAAAAAGAUCCCUAAACAUUCUCACUUUUGAAAAGCCACCAAUCCCUGAACUCUGUGUUCCAAGACCCUCCACAGGAACAACACUCUGCACAGCUGAGAGACACUGUGCUUUAAAAGUACCGCUCUGACCCACUUACAAAGCAAGAAAUCCAGCUUCUUCGUUUUAGAUUUUAAGAAGUGGCCUCUGCCUUCAACAUAAUUAUAAUAUUAUAUUAUUUGUCUGGAUUUUGUGUUGUUGAUGAUGUUUGUCAAUUUUUUUGAAGCUAUGACUUUUGUGAUUUCUCAUUACAAGUAAAUGUUUAUUUUUUAUCCAAAAAUAAUUAUUUCAUCCAACAAGUAUUUACUGGGCACAUACUACAAGGAUACAAUGGUGAACAGAAACAAAAAAUGGCCUCCACUCUCAUGGAACUCACAGUCUAGUGGGCAAAGCCAGACAUCAAUCAAAUAAACAUACCAAAAUACUCAAAAUAUGUAACCGUGUCCACUCCACCCAUGAAAGAGUAACAGGUAUAGGAACUGCUCUCCCACCAUAAACUAUUAAAAAGUUAACAAAAUACAUCAAACAACUAAUUUCAGAUAUGGUAUAUCAGAGAGAACAGAAUUGUGAUUCCCUGAAAGAAGGGAAACAAAUGAGGUCAGCCCUGUUAUUGCCCUAUUACUUUCUGGACAGAGUUUCUAGUCCACAGUGUGAGGGCAAAACCGAAUUGAGGAGAUGGAAAUUGGAGUUCUGGGAUAAAGAAGUGGCUAGAAUUUGCAGGGCAAAGUACUCAAAAUGAGGUUGCUGAACAGAGAGAGAAAAAAACGCCUCAGUGACCUAUGGGCUAAUAAUAAACAGUCUAACAUGCAUGUAAUUAAAGUCACAGAAAAGAAGCCCCAGGCAUAAAAAUAUUUGAAGAAAGAUCAUCAAAAGUUUCCCAAAUUUGGUGAAAACUAUUAAGCUCACAGAUUCAAGAGACUCAACACAUCCCAAACAGAACAAACUUUGAAAAACCAUACAAAACAUAACAUAAGGAAAUUGCUGAAAUCUCCUGAUAAAGAGAAAGUCUUAAAAGCAGCCAGAGGAAAAAGGACACAUUAUCUACAGAUAAAACAAAGAUAGGGAUUACAGCAGAUUUCUUUUCUGAAACUACGCAAGUCAGAAGAGAACACAAUGCCUUUAAAGUGCUGAAAGAAAAAACCUGUCAACCUCCAAUCUGCCCGACGUCCACUACCAUAGACAAUGCCACCCUUGCCUCUUGUCUCAACUACUGGAAUAGUUUCCUAACCCGUCUCCCUACUUCCAUCCUUGGCAUCUUCCAAUCCAUUCUCCAACAGAAAUCAGAUUAAUUUUACCAAUAUGCAAAAAGGAUCAUGCAACUCCCCUGCCCCACCCCCCAAAAAAAGGCUG
Equus caballus (horse) is the source of this 1938-nucleotide long non-coding RNA. The record is from Ensembl. Lineage: Eukaryota; Metazoa; Chordata; Mammalia; Perissodactyla; Equidae.